This is a long non-coding RNA of Neopsephotus bourkii (Bourke's parrot), 1461 nucleotides long. RefSeq lists it as uncharacterized. The record is from RefSeq and is a predicted model, not a curated record. The transcript is spliced from 2 exons. Lineage: Eukaryota; Metazoa; Chordata; Aves; Psittaciformes; Psittacidae.
UAAUGAACUGUAAAGGAUAUAAUCUAAAUAUUUCAGAUGUUUCGAAAACAGAACAGCAAAAGCGCUUCACAAAAAAUCUCUUUGAUUUCUAGGUUGCUUCCUACAUCUUGCUGCCAAAGUAGAAGCUCCUUGAGCUGAGGAUCUUUCCUUUUCCCCUUCCCCCUACCCCAUACUGCCUUCUAACCACUGACAGUGGGCAAAAAGUAUUCAUGUUUCAGUCCAGUACCUUUAUGCAUCUCACACUGGAGGGUUUUUUCCAUUCCCCUGGGGUUGGGCAGGCCAUGAUUAUCACUCUAAUAGAGUUAAUUAAGAGCCUUAAGGCCCUGACGUUUUGUUUUCUUUGGGACCAGACCUAUGGCUUGGGCCUCUAAGCUACCUGCUCUGCCGCAAGCCUCUCCCUGAAAAAACACCCAGGCAAAAUCCAGCAACUGGCUCUUCAGGCGCCAUGUGCACCCUACUGCUUUAGUGUGAGCUAGGGGAGCAAAUGUAGAUGUCUGCUCCUUGGCAUGUAGCUGAGCUCCACUAGCUGCAGUGAAUAGCUGAAACCAGGACAUGGACAAUAGCUCAAACAAAUAAAAAUGACCCUCAGAACUUAAUCAGUAAGACAAGGCACAUCUCAAAGAAGUCCAUGUCCAGGAUGGGCUUGAUGCUCAGAAUGCCAGUAGAGCAGCAAUCUGCUCAGAGAGCGGGUGAAGACCAUCAGAUUAGGGCUAUAAUCACUUAUCCUUAGCACCUGGGAGAGCCAUCCCUUAAAAUGCUCUUCUCCUCUUGCCACAGCCUCACUCAGCUCAGUAGGCACCUCUGAGAUCAGGGAAGAACCUUUUAUUUUUUUAAUAACUGCAGGAGCAUAGGGUCACUUUUACAUGUGAAAUAAGAUAAAAGGCUUUUAUGUGGGAAUUCUGCUGUCCUCUGGAGAGUUAUAAAGAUCAAAGACUUGAAGCAGUGGUUAAUUGCAGCUUUUGAAACUGUGACCACAACAGACUGUUUGAACUAUGGUGUGAGAGAAACUGAGCAUUUCCCCAGGCAACUCUGCGCAGGUACUAGCCACAGAGCUGACAAGGAAAGCUUUCAAAGCACAAUGAAAUGCAGCACGGGAGCUGCACCCAGAAGAGGAAACUCCGGCCAUCUGGAGAUGAGGAUGACCAGCGGCCACAGCAGUUUGUAAAAUUGCAAGAGCUGCCAAAAUUAAACUGUGAAGUCAGGCAGGAAGGCAACCAAUGACCGGUGAGAUCAGAAGUUCAGAGAUGCCCCAGAUGAGCUCCCAACAACAAGUGUGGCUGGCGUGCAACAAAGUUUAUUAAGGAUGUUGAGAGGAGGGGAAAGUAUCUGUGCAGAAGAUGCCCAGCUGGUGAGGAGGGACUGGCGGUGAUGCUCAGGUCACUUGAUGAAUCCCAUUGGCCAAGGCCCUGGGAGAUCCCACCCAUUCGCAAGUGUAAAAUAAAUCUCUAAAGUUGUACCUCA